This 268-nucleotide unclassified non-coding RNA is filed under the name Hevea brasiliensis (rubber tree). The record is from RNAcentral. Lineage: Eukaryota; Viridiplantae; Streptophyta; Magnoliopsida; Malpighiales; Euphorbiaceae.
ACCCAGUGAAAAGCUCCAAUACUGAAAGGAAAAAAUAGAAAAUUACAUCAUAUCAAGGAGUCUAAACUUUAUAUAGAACAAGUGAUCCAUCACAUGUAAACUUUUAGUUAAAAAGUAUGCCCACUAACAAACUUUAAAUGUUUCAAGCACAUACACCACUGAACUUUUUUUCUAUCCAUUGGAUUAUCAAACUAGCACAACUUCUAAACAUAGAAAUUCAUCUCUUUUUUUUUUAUUGGCUUUAAAUUUGAUAUAUUUACAGUUUUUA